UACGGGGGGUGCGAGCGUUGUCCGGAAUCACUGGGCGUAAAGGGCGCGUAGGUGGCCUGAUAAGGGUGUGGUGAAAGUCCGGGGCUUAACCCCGGAUCUGCCGUGCCGACUAUUAGGCUAGAGUGCUGUAGGGGCAGGCGGAAUUCCGGGUGUAGCGGUGGAAUGCGUAGAGAUCCGGAAGAACACCAGUGGCGAAGGCGGUCUGCUGGGCGGUGGGUCCGCGAGGAUCCAAUAGCCGACACUGAGGCGCGACAGCGUGGGGAGCAAACAGG
Molecule: ribosomal RNA, 272 nt
Filed under: uncultured bacterium
Lineage: Bacteria
Description: partial 16S ribosomal RNA
Rfam family: Bacterial small subunit ribosomal RNA
Source: RNAcentral